CACUUGCAGCCAGGAAUUAGAAAGGACUCGGGCAUCUUCUGUGGCGAUCACUCGUGGCUGAGUAAGAUUGUCUUCCAUGAACGCGGUCUUAACAGUGUGUCCGUAAGUGACUGUGGAGGCCAAUUCUGGAUCCACAUGUCCUUUCACAGUGGGGACAUAGGUUUCCGGGUUGAUCACAGUGAGGAUUUGCCAAACGUGCUUUCCUCUUAGCUCGUUUCUUCCUUUCAUCCUGAGUUCGUGCUUCUUCAAAGUCCAUGACACCUUUGGUAAAGGCUGUUCUCCAAUUGGUGCGCUUACAGGCCAGUGUUUCCCAAUUUUCCAUCCUUAUACUGCAUUUUUAAAGAUUUGCCUUGAGAGCGUCCUUAAACCUCUUUUGUUGUAUUUCACUUUCUAUUCUUAAGUUGGGAAUAGAGUAGUUGCUUUGGAAAACUCAGACAUACAGCCCUGCCUGCCCCCAACUCACAAUACUAUGUACAGUGGAACCUUGGUUCUUGAACCUAAUCCUUUCCAGAAGACUGUUCAACUUCCAAAACGUUCGAAAACUGAGAAUCGGCGGUCUGCAAAAUCCAUUGAAAAAAUGGAGAAACGCUCCUCAGAAGCCCUUCGACUUCCAAGGCGCAUUUGAAAAUGGAAGCAAUUGCUUCGGGGUUUUCAGCGUUUGGGUUCCGAAUUCUUCGGCUUCUGAGACGCUUGAAAAUUGAGGUUCAACUUUGUAUUGGGAAAUACUUCUAGAUGCAGACAAGUAUUCGGUGGCUAAAAACAUUGCACACAGAUUUAUUUCCGCUCUUAUCUUGCCCCCACCCCCACCAGUAGGCAUUCAUUUCCAAAUGAGGAUAACUUUUAUGGUUAGUGCAAACCCUUGAAAUCUUAAGGGCAAACUGCUUCCUUUGUUGCCAUGGCUUCCAUCGAGCAGGAGCCAGUGGAAUCCAAUGGGACUCUUUCCAAUGCAGAGCAAUGUUUUGUUCCAAAGAACACAAAGUGAUCUCUUUACUGUCUGGAACUCUUUAUUGUUAGAUGCCCUCAACCUUUGUGCUGUUGCUUUGGUAUGAACCGGAGCCUCAGCAGCAAGCAGCCUUAUCCAAGAUGUCACUGCCGAGCCUUCCUCUCGCCAGCUCAGAAAGGCUGCAAUGGGUUUGUCUCAGUGGGGAUGUUGCUCUUUGCAUAUCUUACCGCAGCAGCAUUUUCUGCCGGCGCCAGGCCUUCAGCCAUUCGUUUCUCAUGCAGAUGUUGUUACCCCCCCAAUUCCAUCAUGUCAAGCUGAGGCUCAGAAACAAUGACACCUGACACAAUGUGAGUCUCCUGUUGUCGACAUGAGGGGGGAAAGCCGUUGGCUGAGACAGUGGUUAUUCCUAGAUGGUUUUAAAGAUGCAACAUCUCGUAAAUGAUGCCCUGGUAUAAUAUCCCCCUUUUUCUCCCUGGCUUAGCAUUCAAACUGAGCAACAAGGGUCUGUUAAUGCUUCACUUUCCAUAUGGAAGCAUUACAUGCUCUUCACUUCCCUGAGCAAAGAGAAUGUCCACAGGUUUCAGUAUUUAGUUUCCUUUGCGGCAAAAAGCACUGAAGGUUUAAAAUAUAACACUUGCUUUUAUUUACCAGGAUACAAAUAGAUACAGUCGGACACUCCUAGGAGACAAAGCCCCAACAACUUGGGCACCCCUCUCUCCUGAAUCUACGCCAAUAGAAUUUCAGCUAGAAGUGUUCAUUCUCAAAGUCUGGCAUUUGCUUUUUCUACUGUUCCUUUCUACCCCUUCCCUUUAUUGAACAUGUGUCAUUUGCUCUGAUUGGUAUUGCACUUAAAAAACGCAUAGUGGUUCCUACUUGUCAGUGGACCUUCUGCCAAGCAUUAGGUAAAGGUAAAGGUACCCCUGCCCAUACGGGCCAGUCGUGUCCGACUCUAGGGUUGUGUGCCCAUCUCACUUAAGAGGCCAGGGGCCAGCGCUGUCCGGAGACACUUCUGGGUCACGUGGCCAGCGUGACGAAGCUGCUCUGGCGAGCCAGCACCAGCGCAGCACACAGAAACGCCGUUUACCUUCCCGCUAUAAAGCGGUACCUACUUAUCUACUUGCACUUAAGGGUGCUUUCGAACUGCUAGGUGGGCAGGAGCUGGGACUGAAAGACGGGAGCUCACCCCGCCGCGGGGAUUCGAACCGCCGACCAUACGAUCGGCAAGUCCUAGGCACUGAGGUUUUACCCACAGCGCCACAGUUCCCCUUGAUUAGUUCGUCAGUCAACCAUUCUUGAAUAUUAUCCCCCAAUACAUCUAAUGAAAGACUGGUUGGCUGACAGACAUAACAGAAAUUUAACCGGUUAGGCUUUGUUUUGUACCAUUCAAGGAUCGUAAGCUCUCUUCAAAAUUUCUAACUUCUAUUGAGGAUGGGGGGGGGUUGACCUUAGAACAUUUAAUUUUAUUAAUUUAAAAGGAUUUCGAAACCACUUAAUCUUUAUAAGCAGUAAAGCAAGACAGGCCAACCUGAUUUGUCCAUGAGACACACACAUUAUGACACCACAGCCAGAAAGACUCUAGCUGCUUCCAGAGUUCUAGAGUUGAGGAAUUAAAUUGAGAAAUUCCAGUAUGAACUGACUUGAUCCACACCUCCAAGACCAAUGAAGGUUUGGGAUUCAGUUAUCCACUGUUUUGAGAUAAUAUAUGUUUGGAAAUACAUAUUUUGAAGACAAAUAUAUUUAGAAAGAUAUAUUUUGAGAGAAAAAAUGUAGAUUUACCAAUAAGUAUUUAAAUGGGAAUUUUGGUGCAGGCUUGUUUUGGGUGAAAAACAGAGGUUGGUGUUGAAAGGUAGUGAGGUAACAUAGGUAAAAAGGUGAUAGAAGAGUGCCUAACCACUCUAAAUGAAUUUUGGGGGCAAGGCAAAUUAUAUCUCAGGGUACUAAAGGGAUUCUGAGAGACUGGAGGCAGGGAACUGUUAUUCUCACCCACGAAAAGGAGAGAAAAAAGAGAGCACACAGACAGCUACCGACUAGUUGUCUUGAUGCCCAAACCUUGUACGUUAUCAUUAAGCAGUCAGUCUGUAAUCAUUUAGGAAAGAAACACAGCAACAUGGGUUUUGCGUGCCAGACCAACAUCACCUAUAAUUUUAUGAAACAGAACAGAGCACAUUUAUGAAAGAACCCGUGUAAACAUGACACAGAAAGAAAACAGGCUGCGCUGUUUGUCCCCCCUUCCUUUCUUCCUUUUCUGUCAUGUCACUUACUACAAAACAGUCCUCCUGAACUCCACGCUGGUAUACCUCAGCAACAAAGUUUUUGGUUGUUGAAACAAUGCAUCAACAACAUGGGAGUGUAGCUAUUCUCAACCAGGGAUGGGGAACGUCUUUCAGCCCAAGGACUGCAUUGCUUUCUGGGUAAGGUAACCUUCCAGGUGACACAUUGCAGAGGUGGGUAGGGGGUAGAGGAAAGAGUGGACUGAGCAAUGAAUGAGAAUUUUAACAUGGUGCAAUGGGCAUGGUUAGGGGAAGUGACCUGGGCUGCGCCUUUGCUGCUAGUGAGGUAUGCAUUUUUCCUAGUUCUGUAACUUUCUAGCUCUCUCAUUCCUCCUCCUCCCUUUGCUGUUAGAAGAUUAUGGUUGAUAUUUCCCAUAUGUGAAGACCACAGCAGGGUUUCAAGUGUAAGGAAACAGCAGAAUAUAUUAAGAAACAUGUUAGAGAGGAUGAAAUUAGAUAAGACGAAACCUUAAACCUCUGUUGUUUGUAAUUUGAUGUUGGGUGAGCGGGACAUCACUAGUUUUGUUGAACUGGAAUAUAAUUGUUGAGUAACAAAUGUAACUUCCUAUACGGGGGGGGGGGGAGAGAAGAAAACAUUAUUUCAAAAAAUAAGAGAAGAUUAUGGUUGAUGAUAAAAGCCCUUUGGGACGCAUCCUAUUCAGAUUCAAACCCAUCAUUUCAGAAACUUAAAGCCUUCAUUUUAAAGUCUUAAAAAUAUUAUCAGAUCUCACGGUUGAACACUGGGUUGAAUAUAAAAAGCUGUACACUAGAGGAAAACACCGGUCCAGAGAAAGAAAGCCAGCAGGAGCAAAACAGAUCACAAACCUACUUCCUUCUUUAAAGUGCUGUGAUUAAGCUACCCAUCUCUCCCACUCUCAGCAUCCAAAAGAAAAGUGUGGUCCUUCCCCCCACUCUCUGUCAGAAUUAAAGGUAUCACAAACAGCUUUCUGCUGACCUCAACCUGGCUAUUUGCCGUUAACAACCUACACCUUGCAAUGCAUGAUUCAUGCUUCCUUUUUAAAGGUAUGCUUAUACAACUGUGAUUCAGUUGUGUAAUGAUGGAAUGUGUGUUACUAGGAAACAAGUAGUGGCCCUUUCCAGGUGGUUGUUUAUUUAGUGAGCAAGUAACAAUAAAAUUCCAUAAGCUCACUUAACCCACAAAACAAAACAAAUCAAAAACAAACAAACAAAUAAACAGUUAGGAACAGCCAAGUUCUCAUUUGGCUUCUAAAUUCUAACACUCUCUGUGUCUACUGGAUGUCGAGAGUUUAGACUGGGGUAGUGUCAGGAACGCAGAUUCAUCCACAGGUCAGGAAAAGGACUCAAGAUGCGAGCUGCAAUCAGCUUUUAUUCACAAAAUAAAAAAAGCACAGUGGAGUUUAUCUAGGCUAAUCUGCCCUAGUUGAAGACAUUGCUGACGUUUGGACCCUCCUUCCCACUCUAGCCGUCUCCCAGGCAGCCGUAGACUCUUACAAGGGGAAAGGAUCUCCCUCUGGUUCUGUCUCAGCAAUGUGCAAGGCUCCUCAUGAUUUGGUUGUCUGUCAGUGGAGAAGGAGCGCUAGGUGAAGGGGAGCUGUCCAGCUGCUGAAGCAGUGUCUGGCUCCGCUCUGUCAGAGUCUGCCCUCACACUGCGACCCUUGGCACUCAUCCCUGUCCUGGAAUGGCUUUCUCCUUCUGACGCCCCCUCCCCCAUGUUCAAUCAAACCUCCUGCUUUUAUCACCUCCCAGCUUGUCCCUUCCCCAGACUGGUCCUCUGUGUCCCACCACAGAGGAAGUCUUCUUCCUCUGUGUCAUCCCUGGGGUGUUCUUGGGUGGGUGGCACCCACCACUCUUUCCCGUCCAGCCAGUCCCCUAGGUGCCAUCCAGAUAUUCUGGGUCACAACUCCCACCAUCCCCAGCCAGCAUGGCCAAUAUUCAGGGGUGAUGGCAACUGUACAACAACAACAUCUGGAGAGCACCACAUUUGUAUUAGUAAAGGAAAUGUUGGUCUGGGGGCACCUUUGCCUGGUUACUGUGUAAUUCUGCCCUCAAGAGGUUAUUAUUAACUCAGGGUAACCACUCUUAAGAUCUCAGCACUUUUCUCCUGAGUACCUCUGACUAUGCAACAAUGACAAAGGAAUGACAAGGCACAGGCAACUCCCAAUUUACGCAGGGGUUAAGUUCCAAGGCACCAUGUGUUUAAGUGAAAUUGCGUAUAUUUAAAACACCAUUGAAACAGUCUGCAAACACCCCAUUCCACCCACUCUGCCCCUUUUUGUGGUGCGUUUGUGUCACUUCUGGGUUGAGCGUGGUUAUGCACAUAUUGGACACGUCUAAAAUGGUCCCUGCCUGUAUUAUAAUUGUUGUUGUUGUUGUUGCUUCUAGCUGUCAUUUGAUGCUCUCAGGAUGAAUCACGAUUAAUGCUAUCAUUAGAAUAAAAAAAAAUUAAACCACAAAACCAGCCAUUAACAAAACUAACAAAACAGCUGUACAAAUUCAUACCAGUUUUAUGUCGGUUAAUUAUAGAGAGCUUUUUCUCAGUAAAUCUUGUGCACUGAAGCACUGUUAGGGUGCCUUUAGCUUUUCCUAGUUUCUUCCUCAGCAGUCCCCUAUGUCCUUGACAAUAUCACAUUGGUUGGGAUGCUGUACUGGGUGCUUGAAUGCAAAAACCAGAUAAAUUUAGUUCUGUGUGCCGAAACAGUUUAAUGAUUUACUUUGAAGUUUUGGUUCCCCAUCCUGGUUCAUUUCCCCCUUAUUAAAAUAAAGAUGGUUAGCUUUUGGCUUCAGUGAUUCACAAUGAGUCUUGUAACUUGCCACACCUGUAACUACCUUUAGAGUGCUAAUCUGGCCAAGCAAGAACAGAUCACAAAAAGCAGCCACUGUUUUAAACACUGUUUAAUUGUAAUAACAUUUCAGGCAUGUGUAAUACAUUCGGAUAAAAGCCAAUAACAAUUACUGAUAACAGUGAAUUAAAAAUAACAAAAAAUCUUGAGACUUGCUAAGGAUUAUCUAGUCACAAUGAUAUGGUUUUCCCAACAUCAAAAUGCAAUUUUGUUUCUGCUCUUUCAAACAUCAGGCACAGAUACGGCUCAUUAAUUUGGGAUUAAGCUGGUGGUUACUUACUGUAGCAUGUGAAUGAUUUUCAAAUAUUCUUUGCCCCCAUCCUUAAGAACAGCAGCAUCCCAUGUUGAGGAUGAUCCAAGGGGAUGGGAGGCAAGCGCUACAUGUUAAGCAAAAUACACACAAACACUGUAAUUUAUCAGUGCUGACAUAUUUAUUACACAAUUUGUUCGGAGCAGACUCUGGCGCCGUUUAAAAUAAGCAUUCUCAACAUUCAGAGCAAUUUAUCUAACUCGCUUGGAACAAACUGUCCAGUGGGGCAUGCUCAAAUUUGUAUACAAUUUACAAAGUGUGUUGGACCCCUGUAGAGCUGCUAGAAGUUCUCCUUUUCAACAAGUACUGAGUUGUUUUCUCUGAUUUUAUGUAUUAAACAGGCUUUAUAUACUGCUUAAUCAUAAAAAACCAAGCAGUUUACAGAAAGUAUGUGUUAUGUACUCAGUGGUCUGGACCAGGAUUCUGUGCCCCUCUGUUUUGAUUUGAUACAUGAUAUCCAAUCAUGUAGCAUUGUCAGGAUUUGGGUUGCUGGCAUUGGCUCUUAAGCUCUGAGUUACGAUUCGCAGCUUGGGGUUUUAGACAGCCAAUCACAUUGAGAGUGUGAGUGGCCCAGGACUUCAGAAAGAUGUACAUUAUUAGUUGCUUUGCCCCUGUUGCUCUGUUCUGUUUGCUCAAUAAAGUCUCUUGCUGUAAUCACUAUGUCUCACCUCGUAGAAACUCACGCAUACUUCAGCAUGCAUUCAAAUUAGCCUAUUUCUGCCCCUCAGCCCCCAAAAUUGUGGGAUAUUAACUAACAAAUAUUAAAAUACAUACUGUAUGUUCAUGUCUUGGUAGGCUUGCUUCUUAUCAAUGACACCUUCUGAUAUUUCCUGCUUUCUGGAAAGGCUGGUGAAUGGUGUGGUGGAAUUCUCUGAGGAAUUCUCACACUAUGACCCUCAAUGUUAUAAAAUGCAAAGCCCAUCUAAGAUAGCUUCUUCGUGCAGGAGGGACUUUGUCCCAGAUUUUAUCUUGUGAACCACCAUGAGAUCUUUUGAUGAAGGGUGGUAUAUGAUGAUGAUGAUGAUGAUGAUGUCAGGGAGUUCCAAAGUGUGGCUGUUGCCACACUGAAAUAUUGAUUCUUUGAAAGUGUGGAACAAACACUAUGUGACACUUGUAAAAGUGCCAAUCCCACAGAUUGAAAUGGUUGUGUGUGUGUGUGUGUGUACAGUGCUUUUUUCUAAAAAAAAAAUGUUUAGGGGUACUCUCAUUUUCCUACUCAUAUUGAAAAACUGCCCCUCAAUAAAGCCAAACUUAGAUUCACAAAAUGUUUAGGGGUAUGCGUAACAGAAAAAAGCACUGGGGGGGGGGAGAUAUUGCAAAGAAACUGCUUCAAUAGUAGCAUCUUGAAUUUGAAUUUGGCCCAGUAACAAAUGAGCAGCCCAUACAGAUUUUUGAGCAGAGGUGUAUAUGCUGACAAGGUCUCACUCCUGUCGGCAAUCAUUCUGUAGCAUUUUGUGCCAGUUGCAGUAACUUCCUGCUGAAAUGCCCCCCCCCCCCCCGCUUUAAUAUUACACAUGUUCUAGUUUACUUUUGUCCCACUUCUGUUGUGCCAUGUCCUCUCUGGAAAGCAGUAGUAUUGGCGAAGCAGCACAGAACAAAACAAGGCGGGAAAAGCCUAAUACACCAUUAUUGUGUCAAAAACAUGUUUCAGAAUACACCCACAUAAAACACCAGUCCGAAGGGGCCCUGGGAUCUGUACCAUUAGUUAUCACGUGGUUCCAAGUAUGUGUUGAGAAAAAGCUAGAAAGUGAGUUCAGGUGUACGACUUUGAUGCUGGGCCACAGUUCAGGACUACGCAGGUGAAGAAAAAGGCUUGCAGCAGUAUCAGUUAAUAGAUAACAUUGACCAUUGAGGAAAAUACUAAUUGGAGCCACUGUUGCAGAGAGGGGGAAAUUUGCCUCCCGCCAUGACAAUGAAUGGUUCAGCCCUUACUAAUAGGUAUGGUGAAGAGUACUGCAAUGCACCUCUGGGCAUAAAGGAUACAUCAACACAUGACUACCAAAAUCCUCACAAUAUAUUCAAGCUUUCCUUGCACACAUGCCUACCCAGUCAUAUUGACAUUUUUUCCCCCUAGCUAUAAAUAAGAGCAUCUCUUCCGAUUCCUUCCCAUUAGAUUGUUGUGCCUAUAUUUCAGCAUAGUAACUGCAAGGCAUUUACCUACUGACAAAACUUUAGUGAGCUGUCCAAAUCAUAAAUAUAGUUUGCAAUUGGCUGUGCUGGGUUUUUUGCCUUUUCUUUUUGCAAGCAGAGAUAAAUAACCAGGACCAUGUAAAUCCAUCUUUUCAUAUAUCUCCAUGCUGCCUUCUGAUCUCACAUUCUGUAUAUUCCUCAUACCCUGAAGCAGUGCUUUUUUUUCUAGAAAAAUAGGCGCAGGAACUCCCCCCCCCUUUUUUUUAAGGACAACCCUAUAUUGUUGAGCUUUUUUGGGGGCGGGGGCUUUUUUCAACCCCUGCCCGGUGGCAGAAAACCAGCACUGUAAAGAGAAGUGCUAGAUAAAGUGGUUAGUGGUUGAGAGUGGCAGUCACCAUCUUCAUUUCCCCAAGUCAGCAGCUCAGUCUGAAGGUUUCAAUUUGCUGUCUCUCUUUCCAUUCAGAAAAUCCUCUCUAACCUAGCUUCCAGGUACGUCCUCUUUCUCAUUCUCCUAAGCACAACUGUGUUGUUUUGAAAUUAGCCUUCCAUUCCCACAUCUCCAACAACUCCUUCAGCAUGGAACAAUCAGAUCUCUGUUUCCAACUGGCCCGGUGACAAGAUAAGGGCCUCUUUUCUUCCAGACUAAUACUUUAUUACCAACUAAUAGUUGCUUCAGGGUUUAGGAUAAAAAGUAAAACUCACCACAGGGAGGAUUUCAGAGACUGAGAGUAGCUUUCUGCCAAAUGGUUCACGGCAGCUCAGCAAUUAUCCCAUUCCUUUAUUUCUCAGAAGGAAAGCACGCUCCCCAAGUCUCUUGCUAUAAAACUGUAAAAUCCAUAUAUAUAUAUAUAUAUAUAUAUAUAUAUAUGCACAUGCUGAUUUAACAUGAAAAUUAUAUUCAUUGUAAAUGUUUUCCUGGCAAUUUGCUUGUCAUAAAUGUCAAUUGCAGUGAAAAAUCUCGGUGGGGAACUGGAUGUGUUUAUUCCGUACGUAGCGAUGAUUUGUUUGAAAAAAGAAAAAAGAAGAUACAAUGACAAUAGAAGUACAAAUAUUAUGAUUUUUAAAUUCUCUGGAAGACUGAAAUCAGAGUUAACUCAAACAUCAUUCCCACGCCGCAACUUUUAGAAAUGUGUUACUUCUCCUAUAGCGAUUGCAGAGCACAUUAGCAUAAGAUAUGAACAAAUAAAAUAGCAUGUCGUAGAGCUAAUUCUAAUUGCCCCAGCUAAAAAAUGUACCGUGUUUGCUGUCACCUGAUAUUCUUGGUCUGCAAGAAUUUCCCCAGCCACUCUGUGCGGUUUUCAGGCCUCCUUUCAGUGAUUUCAGUCCCCUUUCACACAAGAUAUUUUCAGGUGAUGUAAUUUUAAGUGACUUCUUCCAGAAACUCCUGACUUUUUCCAGCUGCCAGCAGGUAUAUCUUUUGAUAUGAAGCUUAACUAAAAUAAUCACAUAUUCCUUCCGGCUUGCCCCUUCCUCCACUUCUCUCAUCUUGCUUUGUUGUUUCCCGGGUCAUUCCACGUUAGUUCAACACAGUCAUGCCACCCACUGUCUUGGAUUUUGAUGAAACUUGGUGUAGACCUUUCCCUUAUGGUUGAAAGAAAACCCCUUAAUUUUUUCCCCUCUAUCACAAGGUCAAAUUCCAUUAUAUUGCAAGGGAAGACAUAGACAUAAUCCACUCUUCCUUCGAAACCCGUUUCAGAGACAUGCACACACUCCCUGGAACUCGCAAAUUCCACAACUUUAAACCACUCAAUUCUACAGGCACAACUGAAGCAAAAAGAAUGAGCAUUAAUACAGAACCCUCCCUCACUUUCAACCUCAGGAGCCUCCCCAAACUUCCUAUGAAUGUGGAUGAUCUGUAUCCUGAAUGUUUUGUCGCUUGCAAGCAUGAUCAUUUGUGGUACUUUGGAAUGAUAUCAGAGAUUAAUCAAGACGAGGAAGAUGCUUUUGUAAAAUUUCUUCACCCUAAUGGACCUUCACCUUCAUUCUGCUGGCCAUGCCAUGACGAUUCUUGUGUAAUUCCGUUUCCUCAUAUGCUUGGUAUUGUACAACCCCCACAGACAAUAACUGCAAGAAGAUACUUCUUUCCCAAUGAGUGUGUGGCAUUGAGGGAAGAAAAAAUGAAAAACUUACAGGUGAUACUGAGGCUACAGAAAGAAACUGAGGAACAUUGAACUUGUAAGGUAAUCAACUGGGGUAAUAGCAUAUUCUGUUAUGGUAAUUUUUUACUUUAGUUUAAUUUUUGUCCGUGUUGUUAUUAAUGUACAGUAUAUGCUGUCAUAAAACUGCCUUAUUGUGAAUUACACCUCAAUAUAUUUAACAUAAAUGUUUAAAAGGCUCCAUGCAUCCAUUCUUUCAAGAUGGCACACAAAUAUCAUUCUCUCCCCCCCCCCCCAAUUAAGAUAGGCAUGUCUUUGUAUGCAAUAAUGUUCUGAAAAACGAAUUGGGGAUAAUGUAAUGUUGCAAAAUUGAAAAUAAUCCAUCAUUUUAAAUUCUUUUAAUCUUUUUCUUGCUAGGUCUUAUUUCCUUACAUGUCAGCAUUUAAAGUUUCUGACCGAUUUUUUUAAAAAGAUUGAUUUCACGAUAUAGCCAAUUUUCAUAGUUUUAAAUACCCUAAAACUGAAAAAGAAGUCUGCACUUUUGAAAAAAACAAACCCCUGUAAUAACCAAUAUUAUUUUAGCUUUUAAGAUGAACAACUUUGUUUCAUUAUUUUUUUCGAUUACACGCUGAAAAUUUAGGUUUUCUAAGCCUAGUUUUUCCACCAAAAAACCCCUACAUUUAUACAUUUUUAAGGCAUCUAUAAAAUCAUUUGAGUGCUGGUAUAUUUUUUCCUUAAAUCCUCAUCAUGUUAUUGAGCUCUGUGUAAAAUUUCAAAGAGAUCUGAUCAUUGGUUAUGGAGAAAAAAAAUAAAAUGUACUGAAGGCCAAGGAUUUCAAGAGGGACAGAAACGCAGAUUUCACGAAACUUUGAAGUGCUAUAAAAUCGAAACUGUUUGUGAUGGGGGGGGAAUAAGGGGGUUUCUUUCAACCAUAAGAGCAGGGUGUACACGAAGUUUCAUCAAAAUCCAAGAUGGUGGGUGGCAAAACCAUUGUUUUUUGCAUUGAUUUGAUAUAGAAUGACCCUCCCUUGUGUCUAUUAUUGUGCUGCACACCCUUAGGAAGUAGGUAGUAGCUGUCCUCUCAUUCUGUGGAAACUGGAUGUGCAAAACUAGUGACAAGCAUUCAUCCUGAUUUGUUUGUAAGGAAAUUAGAAAGCAUGGACUGGUUCAUGAAGUUAGAUGAUGUUGUGUCAAAGCAAGUGUUACCACCACACCUACCGGUCUUUUUUCCUGUCAUUUUCCUUGUAGCAAAAAGACCACUGUUUUGGUGAAGCAAGACCUCCCAGUCAAUCUUAAUUGCUCAACCUACAUUUGCCUGUAUGUGAUGAAGUUCCAUCCCAAAAUUGUGACAGCCUAGAAGCAGCCCAGAGGGGACGCGGGUGGCGCUGUGGGUUAAACCACAGAGCCUAGGACUUGCCGAUCAGAAGGAUGGCGGUUCGAAUCCCUGUGAUGGGGUGAGCUUCCGUAGCUCGGUCCCAGCUCCUGCCAACCUAGCAGUUCGAAAGCACAUCAAAGUGCAAGUAGAUAAAUAGGUACCGCUCCAGCGGGAAGGUAAACGGCGUUUCCGUGUGCUGCUCUGGUUCGCCAGGAGCGGCUUAGUCAUGCUGGCCACAUGACCCGGAAGCUGUCUGUGGACAAAUGCCGGCUCCCUCGGCCAAUAAAGCGAGAUGAGCGCUGCAACCCCAGAGUUGGUCACGACUGGACCUAAUGCUCAGGGGUCCCUUUACCUUUACCUUUUAGAAGCAGCCCAGAGCUGUGACAAUGAAAUCCCUUGAAACCAGAGAUCUGCCUGAUUUGAUGGGGAGAUGGAGUUGUGGUUCUAGAGCUCUUUUGUAUAUCUCAUAAUGUUGUAGUCUGCUGAAGAUAUCUAAUUUGGCACAGUAUUAAUAGGUCCGUAUGCAGGUAAAUGUGGGGCAUUUUUUCAGCUGGAACUUGCCAGAAGUCAGUUCUGGCACCUCUCAGGUGGGUGCCUUUGCCAUUAUAAGAGAACAAGGGAGGUGUUUGUGGUGAGUUCCAGCACCUUUUUUUCUAGAGAAAUAGCACUGGUAGAUGUAUCCGAUUUCCCUCCUCUACUACAUACUGAUUUGCUUGAUAGUACUUGGUGGGGAUGUCAAAUUUUAGGUGUCAGUGUUUGCUCUGUAUUUCCUCUCUUAGAUGGGGCAGUUUAUUUUAUUUUAAUGCAUAACUAAAGAAUAAAAAAGGAGACAUGAAAUGAAAUUUAACAUUGACAGUAAAGUUGCUACACAUUCAUGCCAGCUGAAGAGAGAUCCUGGAAUUUAACAAUGCCUAGAUCUAAUAAACCACAUAAGUGUCCUUUUCCGGGAAGAUUCAUUCCCAUUUAUUAUUAUUUUUUAAAGUGAGGCAUACAAUUCCAUCUGACAGCUUCUUGCUUAAAUGUCACAAAGACGGCCCAAAUUAAAUCAUGCCUCCCAUAGUCUGCAAACCCCAGAGAUCCAUUCCAAAAUAUUGUAUUUUAAAGAUAAGCUCCGCUCCCUCUUUCUCUUUUCCCCACGUCGCAAAUCGCACACAUCAAGUGUUGCAAGGAGGAUUAUGAAAAAGUACUAGCUGUGGGGUGGUUUCAGAAAUUUCAAUGCUUGUAAAGGGAACCUCAGGCUGUUAGCAUGUUUUUUACUUUCUUUGACAGCGAGUAAAUGUUCUGUGGCAGGGCAAAUCUACAGGAAAUAAAAUUUUAUGAUGCACCGUAGCCGUAGUGGUUAUAUAUCUAUACGCUGCUGGCAGCCCAUCAAAAGAUACACAUUUUCCAUGUGAUAUAUAUAUAUAUAUAUAUAUAUAUGCGCGCAAGCAGCUUGACUCCUGUAAUCAUAAACGCAGACAAGUGUACUCUGCAUACACGUACCAGAUGAUGCCAAUUUCCUGUAAUAGAGUGGGUCUGCUACUGGAUCCGGCCAAUAAGAUCAAAAAGCCCUGAAAGGCAAAAGGAAGUGCAUUCGGUUCUGCCUAAAUCUGGAGAGCAAACCACUUGGUUUCACAUAAAAGGAAGCUCCUCCAGGCAUAUUACUCUAAACCUUCCUGUCUUCCAUCGCGUUCGGAGGCUUUUUGGAAUUGGAUAAGUGUGCUAGCUCAUUAUCUCUCUGGCUGCCCAAGCCAUGCCAACCAAACCUAAGGCCAAAUCCUCUCACAUGACCUGCUAACAGCAGUCCGUUGUAACAAGGUAGACUCAACAGCCAUUGUUCAUAUGGAUGUAUUACCUUCGCAGCAAGAUUGGCACAGGCGUUUCACUCAUUGCAAAGUAACUAACCUGGGUUUGUUAAUGAGCGGCUCCUGACUCUCUGUAGGUCUCCUUUGCACAAUUCAAUUUUAGGUGUGCGCUUAUGAAAAAUGGCUAAGGGGAAUACCUCAUGCUGAUGAGAGGUGCGUCAUACUGAAGUAACGAAAGUAGAUGGACUGAUUUUUAUUUUAUUUUUUAAUGGAGGCCAGGGCAAAUUUCCAUGCAGGAUUUAAGAGAAUAAAGGUUUGUGUUCUCUUGGUUGGGAGAUGGAACUUGGAAAGACUGAUGGAACAGGAGAGAGAAUAGGUAAAUUUCUCACAUUGGUUUAUUUAAAUGACUGCCCUCAUUCUUCAGCUGUGGAGUUUGAGGGCUGUGUUGUUCUUUAACUGCUGGCUUUGCAGUGCUUUUAAUAAGAGUGGUUGGCCAUUUCUAUAAGUCUUCCUCACCUCAAAUACUCUGUUUAGACCAGGAUGGUCCAACUUUUCAUACCAAGUGAGCUGCAAGAGUACUUUGACAUGGAACCCGCAGGCUAUCACUGUCUUGUGUGGGGGAGAGGCCAAAAUUUGACGCCCCCCUCACCACCCAGAUUUUAGGAGGCUGGGAUUAGGUUGGCCUGUUGCCAACACUGUCACUGGAUUUCUAUGUGCUUUCUUCUCAAUGAUUUAUUGUUCUUGUUGCAUGGUGUAAUUGGAUGGUGAUAAUGUUUUGAGCAGCUUAAUUGUAUUUUAUUCGUUUAUCGGAGCUACCUUUUGGGGGUGGGGUGAGAGUGUGUGUUUGGCUUUAAAGGGCAGAAAGAAAUUAUAUCCAUGUGGAUGCAACUGCCUUGCACAAAGGGAUCAGCAGAGAGCCCCACAGAGCCAUCUUCCUUGCCUGGGCUGGCGCAGGAGCAAGAUCAUACCAUAUAGAGCACCUAAUGUUUGCUUCUUACAAAAGUCCCAAGUGUUCAUCCUGUCAUCCCUUUCCUCAGGUCAGACAUGCAUCAGGUAGGAAUAUCUUGUGGACUUGAGUCACAAGGAGGAGAGUGACAGCUAGAUGAAAGCAAGGCAUCUCCACAUGGGCCUCAUGGUUUGUUUUUUAAGUGUACGAAACACUUUAAAAGAAAAUUAGAAUGCAAAUCAAACAAGCCUGCAGCAGGACCCACACUAUGUAUCCCAUCCCCUUAUUAAGUAAAAAAGAAAGUGGGGGGAGCAAAAGAUGGGCUCACCUGCUGCUGAGGACCGGAAGGGCCUUGCCUGCCUCCUUCCAUCUGGGCAGAGAGGGCUCCAUUUGUUUUUUUUAAAAAAAUUGCUUUUAUUUUUUUAUCUAUGUCAUUUUAAAUUGUAAUUGAUAUUAAUGCUGUAUUCUUAGUUUUAGAUUUUAUGAUUUAUGUGGAAAUUGUUUUCCAUUUGGUUGUGUACUUUUUGAUGUGUUUUAUUUAUUGCUUAUGACUUUUGUUACGUUGGUAAUUAUGUAAAUCUGGUCGUGUUGUAAGCCGCCUUGAGCAUUGUUUUAACUAUGGAAAGGUGGCAUAUAAAUAAAAUGAUGCUGAGGAAAAGAAGAAUGAGAUCAGGAAGAUUGAAGGGAAAGUGAGGCAAGCCACAAGAAAUACCUAAAACUAGGGGGAGGCUAGGAUUCAAAAAGAUCUACACAUUCAGACCUGAGAGCAGCAAAAUUAGUGUCAGGUUUAUUAAACACUGUUCCUAAUAGCUAGCAUGUGACACUGUGCAUGCAACCAGGUGCCAAUUGAGAACGAGGAGGGAUCUUGUAAUGACUCUUCCCAGGCUCAGUCAGCAUAAGAGUCGAUCUUGCCCUGAACACAGGUACGGAAAAUGCUUUAAUUAGGAACGGAGUAUCCAGAUAAAAGAAAUUUGCCUGGGAGAGAUGCUUCUCCUGUGUUUUUGCAAACCGUGAGAUCAGCCGGUGCAUUGCUUUCACCUUGGGAACAUCCUAUGAAAGAUCAUUCUGGCUUUCCAUGAGGCUCCCUUUCAUUUACCAGCUAUGAUAGAUAAAUAGAUAAAGAGAGAGAAAAACAGAGACAGAGAGAUUUGUGCGUGUGUGUGUAUCUCGCAUACUGAGAGAGAGAAAUUCAGGGCAGCGCUGAGGAAAAAAGUGAUAGAAGCCCAAGCUGUGAAAACAUCCUCGUUAGACCCACCAAUAAAAAAUUUAAGAUAAUUGUAAAUCGGUUGUGUUGUCAAGAAAGCAAUGGAGAGUGCAGAGGCCCUGUCUCAAAAUGGUGGGGGGCAGCUUGCAUUGAAUUAAGGAGACUAGCAAGGCAGACUGGAAGGGAACAGCUGCUGCUCCUCAGCACCACCAUAUGUGGAUCUAUAUGUUCAAGAGAGCACAGGGACUUUGGUUUCCUCGGGUUGUGCUCAGCAGGUCUAUUAAGAAGGUGAUCUUUCCAUUUUCGGCAAGAGGGUAGCAACUCCCACAGAGAUAGAAGAUAAAUUGCUGUGUGCAUUAAUUACACUGUGUGCUGGGAAGUCUGAGGUGAAAGACAUUCAAAAAGGACAGCUUUGGGCAGGGCUAGGACAUCAUGCCUUUGUUGCCAGCUUCUGAGAUUAGCCUGGCAGUGCUGCGCUCAAGUUUUCGCUAGAAGCUUGAAUUCGCUUAAUUAUGAGAUGAUCCCUCUUUUUUACUUGAACAAAAAAAUAGGGGGGGGCAUUUGGCCCUUGGGUAUUCUUUUGGCAGAAGUGAUCUGAAACGUACACAUAUAAUUCCUACUGUCUUCCAGUGUUUUGAGUGAUCGCUGAUCAAUCAGAGGUGGAUUUUCUCAAGACGAGGGUAAUUGUGCAGGCAUGCAAGUCCCGUCAUUCCUCAGUACUUGAGGACUGGGAGUCAAAGGUGUAGGAUGGCUCCAAUGAAAAGCGAUGGAGAUGGAGGGGAAGUGAAAAGGCAGCCUAUGGUAUUAUGGCCCGUUCAAACAUGCAAGUCAUUUCUUCCUCAGAGAAGAAUAUUAAAUAAUCGACAAGAGAGAGGCAUAUAAAGAUUAACUUUUGGAAUGACAAAAUCAAUGAUAAUAUAGUUCUGUAUAAUGCUUUCCCACCCAUAUUAUUUUGUGUUCUCUUUUCCUUAGAUACAGUGGUACCUCGGUUUACAAACUUAAUCCAUUCCGGAAGUUCGUUCUUAAACCAAAGCCGUUUUUAAACCAAGGCGUGCUUUCCCUAAUGAGGCCUCCUGCCGCCGGUGCCCUUUGACCAUUCGGCUUCCGUUCGUAGACCGAGGUAAAGUUCGCUAACCGGAACACCUACUUCUAGUUUUGCAUAGUUCGUAUACCGAAUAGUUUGUUAACAAAACUGUUCUUAAACCGAGGUACCACUGUAUAGCCGCAAUUAUAAUCUUCCUCCUUUCUUGUCCAAACAAAGCAAAUAAAGGGUGUGUGUAGAAAGGCUGUGAGGAAACGCUUAGGGUAUCUGAACCUGUGCGUGCAGAACCUGCACAAAACAAAAUACAUGCAAGCCAUUUCUUUGAGCUGCAGUUAACAAGUGAUGAGCGUGCCAUACCCUCCAACAUUUCUCCCAUGAAAAUAGGGGUGUUCUAUUCCAUAGUAGUAGUAGUAGUGGUAGUAGUAAUUUUAUUAUUCAUACCCCACCCAUCUGACUGGGUUGCCCCAGACACACUGAGUGGCUUCCAGCAUAUAAUAAAACACUAAACAUUCAACUUCCCAAGUCUUUCCAAAUGUGGUAAAUUGUUGGCAUGGCAAAUGAAAAAGAGACAAAAAUUAAAUACAAUUACGAACUUAGAAGUGGAAGGAAGAAACAUACAGAAUCCUGCAGAGAUCAGAAGUUGUUUCCAGAGGUACUUUAAACGAUUAUAUACUCAAGGGCCAUUAAAAGAAACAGACCAAUUUUUGAAAACAAAUGGAUUACAAAAAAUAUCUCAAGAAAAUAAAUUAAUUUUGAAUUAUAGAAUAACUGAACAGGAAAUAGAAGGUGCCAUUCAAAACAUGCAACUUGGUAAAUCUCCAGGACCAGAUGGCUUGACCUCUAGAUACUACAGAUCUUUAAAAGAAUGGUUAAUUCAACCUUUGAAAGAGGUCUGUAAUGAAAUAAUGGAGGGGAAAAGAGCACCAGAGUCGUGGAAAGAAGCAUAUAUUACACUUGUACCAAAAACAGAGACUGAAAAGACACAGCUUAAGAACUACCGCCCUAUAUCGUUACUGAAUGUGGAUUACAAAAUUUUUGCAGAUAUUUUGGCUAAGAGAUUGAAAAAAGUGUUGAUGGAAGAGAUUCAUAAAGACCUAGCGGGCUUUCUUCCAGGAAGACAUAUGUCUGACAAUUUGAGGAAUAUAAUUGAUAUUUUGGAAAAACUAGAAGUGAACAUAAACACUAAAGCAGUGUUGAUAUUUGUAGAUGCGGAGAAAGCCUUUGACAACAUUUCUUGGAAUUUUAUGAAGAAGAAUCUACAGGGUAUGGGGGUAGGCCAAGGUUUUGAGAAUGGUAUAAGUGCAAUUUAUUCAGAACAAAAGGCUAAACUAAUUGUAAAUAAUGUUGUGACGGAAGAACUUAAAAUUGAAAAAGGGACACGACAAGGUUGCCCAAUUUCCCCACUUCUUUUUAUCUCGGUCCUGGAGGUUCUGCUGAAUAUGAUUAGAAGGGACCAGUCGGUUAAAGGUAUACAGGUCGGAACUAAACAGUACAAACUGAGAGCAUUUGCAGAUGACUUAGUAUUGAUGUUACAGGAGCCAGAAUCUAGUACUAAAAGGGUUUUAGAACUGAUUCAAGAAUUUGGUCAAGUGGCAGGAUUUAAAUUGAACAAGUUAAAAACCAAGGUUUUAGAGAAAAAUUUAACGCCGUUUGAAAGAGAGAGGUUUCAGAAUGAGACAGGUUUAACAGUGGUUAAGAAAGUAAAAUACGUGGGGAUUAACAUGACAGCAAAAAAUGGGAAUUUAUUUAAAGAUAAUUAUGAAAAAUGUUGGUCUGAAGUGAAAAAAGACUUAGAAAUUUGGUCAAAUUUGAAGCUUUCACUGCUAGGCCGUAUUGCUGCGAUAAAAAUGAAUGUAUUGCCUAGAAUGUUGUUUCUGUUUCAAACUUUGCAGAUUGUUGACAAAAUGGAUUGUUUCAAGAGGUGGCAGAAAGAUAUUUCUAAAUUUGUCUGGCAGGGCAAGAAGCCCAGAAUAAAAUUUAAAAUUCUAACUGAUGCAAAGGAAAGAGGUGGAUUUGCCCUGCCAGACCUCAAACUUUACUAUGAAUCAGCAGCCUUCUGCUGGUUGAAAGAAUGGCUACUUCUUGAAAACACUGACAUUUUGGACUUGGAAGGUUUUAAUAAUGUAUUUGGAUGGCAUGCAUAUUUAUGGUAUGAUAAGGUCAAAGCACAUAAAGCAUUUAGAAACCACAUUGUCAGGAAAGCGCUAUUCAAUGUAUGGAUAAGAUAUAAGGACUUGUUAGAAAACAAAACCCCAAGGUGGCUGUCACCAAUGGAAGCGAAAGCCUUGAGAAAGGUCAAUAUGGAGGUCAAAUGGCCGAAAUAUUGGGAAAUUUUGGAACAAGACGGAGAUAGACUGAAAUUGCAGAGUUUUGAAAAAUUAAAAACAAAGUGCGAGACUGGCUUCAUUAUUUUCAGAUAAUGGAGGCAUUUAAAUUGGACAAGAAAAUUGGCUUCCAGGUGGAAAGAUCCAAAUUAGAAACAGAACUGUUAGAACCCAAAACUAAGAAUUUGUCAAGAAUGUAUAACUUGCUGCUGAAAUGGAAUACUCAGGAUGAAACGGUAAAAUCGGCUAUGAUUAAAUGGGCACAAGAUGUUGGACAUAACAUUAUGUUUGCUGACUGGGAACAGUUGUGGACCACAGGUAUGAAAUUUACGGCAUGUAAUGCCUUAAGAGAGAAUAUUAUGAAAAUGAUAUACAGGUGGUACAUAACCCCAGUCAAGCUUGCAAAAAUUUAUCAUUUGCCCGAUAACAAAUGUUGGAAAUGUAAGGAAACUGAAGGUACAUUUUUUCACUUUUGGUGGACGUGCCCAAAGAUCAAGGCUUUCUGGGAAAUGAUAUAUAAUGAAUUAAAAAAGGUAUUUAAAUAUACCUUCCCUAAGAAACCAGAGGCCUUUCUCUUGGGCAUAGUCGGCCAAUCGGUGUUAAAAAAGGAUAGAACUUUCUUUAUGUAUGCAACAACAGCAGCAAGAAUACUCAUCGCAAAGUAUUGGAAGACACAAGAACUUCCCACGCUGGAGGAAUGGCAGAUGAAAUUAAUGGACUAUAUGGAACUGGCGGAAAUGACUGGUAGAAUCCGUGACCAGGGAGAAGAGUCGGUGGAGGAAGAUUGGAAGAAAUUCAAAGACUAUCUUCAGAAACACUGCAAAAUUAAAGAAUGUUAGAGUGAUGUUGGACUGAAUAUAAGCGGUUUCCAGCUGCACAGGUUAAAGUUAAUGAUAGAUUAAGAUUAAAGAUUAGGUUUAAAGAUGUUUAAGGAAAUGGAAAUUUGACAAUUAAGAGGUAAAAUUUCAAUGUUAUACCACAUUAAGAUCAAAGAUUAGGGUUAAAGAAGUUGAAGUUAUAUAUUAUAUUUAAAAUUAAAGAUUGGGAUUAAAGAAAUUGCUGGACAAACAAUUUGGAUUGGAAUACAAAAGAGGGAGGUAUGAGGAAGUCCAGAAAAUAAGUAAAUUCAAAAACGGAAAUGGAAAAGAGAUAUUGUUUUUAAUUGUUAUGUUCUUUUUUAUUGUUGAUUCUUGCUCUUUGUGUUGUUGUUUUUUUAUUUUCUUUCUGGGAUUUGUAUUGUGUAUUUGUGCAUCUUUUUUAUGUUUUGUUUUUGUUUUUGUUUGGUGUUUAAUUUUUGAUUGAAACUUUAAUAAAUUUAUAAAUAAAUAAAUAAAUAAACAUUCAACUUCCCUAUACAAGGCUGCCUUCAGAUGUCUUCUAAAGGUUAUCUCCUUGGCUCGGGAGUCAUAUAACUCCAUACCCUCCAACAUUUAUCCAGUGAAAAUCGGGUUGUCCUAAGGAAAAGCAGGACAUUCUGGGAUCAAAUCAGAAACAGGGAUGGCUUCUGUAAAUCAGGGACUUUCCCUGGAAAAUAGGGAUACGUAGAAAGUCUGACAUGUAUGUGUAGACAAACUCUAAGAAUGUUGCAAUUCCAUUACCACAUGUGACAUCACUUGUACAGGACUCUGCUCCAUAGCCUGUGGUACAGCUUCAUGCUUCCCCUGUUUCUUGGUCCGUAGGGUUAAACUAUGGGUUAAACUCCAUAGCACACACACUCAAGCAGUAAGGUAUGUCUCUGGUUCCCCCUUUCUCUUCAGUUAAUCACAGACAUGAAGAGCCCAGUUGUUACUGGGACAUAGCUGUCAAUGUUUCCCCUUUUUUAAGGGAAAUCCCUUAUUCAGAAUAGGAUUCCUCGCAAGAAAAGGGAAAAGUUGACAGCUAUGUACUGGGACCACAGUUGCCGGGAUAGCCCUCUAGUUCCCGUGAAGUCAUGUGGAGAGGGGGUGAUUGCUUCUGGGAAAUGAAAGAUCGAGAGGAGGGAGUGUAAGAAGCACCACAGAGAUAUGAAGGUGACAGACCCAUGAUUCCCCCAUGGUUAUAAAUGAAGAGUUAUGCUAAUUGAAAAUGAAAACACAGAUUAUUACCUCACGAUCACUCUCAUAAUAUUUCGGAGCAGGAUAAAUCUGGCUCAGAUCUUGCCCAGAAAUGAAAUAUCUGUCAACUUUUUAUUCAUGAUACAUUUUCUCUCAAGGCAUACUCAAUCAUUUAUUUCAGGCCUUAAUCAUUUAAGGCUGCAAAAUUGAUUCAAAAUAGAGGUCAGUGUACAGGUAUAUCCUGACUUAACCUGAGGAAUGCUAAUACAUUUUGAUUGAACAGAUUUUUGCAGGAGAUUCUGAAUUGAAUUUCAGUGAGAGGGUAAACAUAGGCAUUGACGGCUAAGGAAAUUCUAUGCAUCCAAAGGGAAAUCAUAAGUAGAGUGCCCUGAAUCAAUUUAAAAUGAGAAACCUGAAGAAAGUUCUUUUUUUUUUUUUUGCAGAAGAUUUCACUUUACCCUCAUGAAUAUCACUUGGUAUUAAAAAAUAAAAUAAAAUAAAGCAGCAGCAGCAGGCACACAUUCGUAUAUAUAUAUAGAGAGAGAGAGAGAACAUCGUUGUCCAAAGUUUUUGUUUAAUGAUUUCUCCUGAUUAUCUUCUCAAACAGUUUGAUAAUAAUUACAGUGUAGGUGUUAAAGACAUUGUUUGGAUCGCUAGCUGUCCUGCCUUAGCACUGUCUAUUUUUAUUCCUCAGAGUGAACAAUGAUUUUCUUUUUUCACUGACCUCUUUUUUCAUAUUAUUGAAAAAGAGGCUCCAGGAAUUGAGCCAAAAGAACCUCCCAAGCCACUCUGGCCUUUGCCCCAGUUUUGAAAUCCUUCACAAUCAUCUUCCUCCUCUUCCUCACCAGUGACAAGUGUGAGGCUAGUAACAAAGCAAAUACAUGGAGCUCCUUGAAGGGGUAGGAAGAGAACCUAAUUCAAUAAUAAUAAUAAUAAUAAUAAUAAUAAUAAUUAUAAUUUAUUAUUUAUACCCCGCCCAUCUGGCUGAGUUCCCCAGCCACUCUGGGCGGCUCUCAAUCAAGUGUUAAAAACAAUACAGCUUCAAGUUAUCCAUAGAAAGACAUAUUAUUCCAGUGAAUAAUUUGGAUCUUCCAAUAUUGGAUCUCAAAUUUAUCUUGAUGUCUGGGUACCACAAGCAGAGAAGGGGGCCAAUAGGAGGCAGAUCAGAAUAUCCAUUCCUUAAGACACUGAUCAGAAUAUCCACAGUGUUCACGAGUACUUGUUCAAAAUACCACUUAGCCUCAUGUAAAUUUCAGUUGCAGGAUUCACAUUGUUGUAUAUAUUUCAACAAUCCCAAAGUCUGAGAGUCAGUGGCUCAGAUGUUGUUGUAAACAACCCCAUUGAAGAAGAUAAGUGGUUACCCAAACCUUGUUGCUGGUUGUGAAGGGGCCCCUAUAACAGUUCAAGCUUCAGGGCCCCCAAAAUGUAGGUCCACCACUGUACACGCAUGGUUCAAUGCAACUGGAUUGAGCUACCUAAUGCUGAGUAUUGUUAUAGGUUUUUUGGGGGGGGCAGAUUCCCCUAAAUUCCUGGGUGCCAACUCCUUCCCUUGGAUUUAGUAAAAGCUAGACUUAAUCAAGGUUUGAUUAAACUUUGCCAAACAAAGAAACCCACUAGAUUCAGUUGUGCUAAUGAGCCAAUCCAGCUCCGCAAAAUUAAAUGGAUGGACCAUUAGCAGAGGACAAAGGCCAGUGAUGGUGCAAGAAGGAAACCAUCAAAGGCAAAGGGGAGUGGGGGCCCUUCUUUGCUGGGUGCUAGUGGGCAGAGGCACAGGCCAAAUUUGGGGUUUCAAUUUUGAAUGACGUAGGCUGCGGGAGGUCCUUGGAGUUGGUCAGCAGCGAGACGGAGAAGGAGGUGCAGAAUUCCAUUUGAGCUGGGGAUGACAGACUGAAAAUUAGAGACACAGAGGAUGGCUUUUUGCUGUCUCCUAAGCAGGGAAGCUUGACCUUCAUAGGAUGUGAAUGCUCUGCAACCCGUCCAUCUAGGUUCAGGCUGUAUAUAUGUGUAAAUAGAAGCAUAUAUGCAUAUUUCUGAAAUAAACAUGAACCUUGGGUAAGCGCCUGGAAUUCUCUGGAAUCCCUAGAAUCUCACACUGUUUGGAGAUGGGGUGGCACAGAAUGGUAUUAUGUGGUCACUGAAGCUGCUCUUUGGGCGUUUUUUGUUUUUUACCCUCUUAGAUUUCCCCUAAAAUAUGUGGGGGGUUGGGGGGAUAUUUCUGCAAAUCUUGGGGGGGUUCCCCCGCCCAUGCUGAUACCUCCCUCUUAUUUUUCAGUGACAGCAUAUUCCCUGCACUCUUUUUGACGCUCAUCAUCCGAUUUUGCUCUUUGAGGGAGUAAUAUUCUGUUGCUGCUGUCGAGAAAUAAAAAUGAACAUGGUUUACGUCUAAAGAACCCAAAUGUGUAGACACCAUUUACUCAGCCAGUCAGAGUUUUGAAAGAAGCAGUGAAAGACGUUUGCUUCAGGGUACUGAGCUCAUUAGGCAAAUUGGAUGUAGAAGGCCUAUGAAGGGAUCCUCCAUACAUAAUGUUCCUUCCUGAAAAGGCCCUGAGCUGCCUCUUUGCUCCUGCCUGACCAGUUGUUGUUUUUUAAGUCUUUUAUUAACUUUCAACAUAACGAUUAUCAAAACAAAUCAUCUUCAUUAUUUCCCCCCUUUUUCCCUCCCCUCCCCUAAGAACCCUCUCUCCCUCCCCCCAAGACUUCCCUCAGCUCCUCUGUCUGAUUUCUCAACUCAUGUUAUUCUCUGCAUACUGUAAAAUGGUAUAUAUCCUUUUAUUAUCUGUCUACUAUAUUAACCCUCAAUAAAUUUGUGUAUGCUUAUUCAAAA
Molecule: non-coding RNA, 24103 nt
Organism: Podarcis lilfordi (Lilford's wall lizard)
Lineage: Eukaryota; Metazoa; Chordata; Lepidosauria; Squamata; Lacertidae
Source: the annotation of a GenBank genome assembly